This 769-nucleotide ribosomal RNA is filed under the name Geastrum entomophilum. RNAcentral's name for it is "eukaryotic LSU rRNA". It matches the Rfam family "Eukaryotic large subunit ribosomal RNA", at positions 133 to 887 of the family's 3401-position model. Lineage: Eukaryota; Fungi; Basidiomycota; Agaricomycetes; Geastrales; Geastraceae. The record is from RNAcentral.
GUCGUCCGAGUUGUAAUCUAGAGAAGUGUUUUCCGUGCUGGACCGUGUACAAGUCCUUUGGAACAAGGCGUCAUAGAGGGUGAGAAUCCCGUCUACGACACGGACUACCAGUGCUUUGUGAUACACUCUCAACGAGUCGAGUUGUUUGGGAAUGCAGCUCAAAAUGGGUGGUAAAUUCCAUCUAAAGCUAAAUACAGGCGAAAGACCGAUAGCGAACAAGUACCGUGAGGGAAAGAUGAAAAGCACUUUGGAAAGAGAGUUAAAAAGUACGUGAAAUUGUUGAAAGGGAAACGCUUGAAGUCAGUCGCGUCUUCAGAAACUCAGCUAGGCUUCUGCCUGGUGUACUUUUCUGUUGGACGGGCCAGCAUCAGUUUUGGCCGCCAGAAAAAGGUGAGAGGAAGGUGGCACCUCCGGGUGUGUUAUAGCCUCUCAUCGUAUGUGGCGGCUGGGACUGAGGACUGCAGCAUGCCUUCAUGGCCGGGGUUCGCCCACGUAACGUGCUUAGGAUGCUGGCGUAAUGGCUUUAAACGACCCGUCUUGAAACACGGACCAAGGAGUCUAACAUGCCUGCGAGUAUUUGGGUGGUAAACCCAUAUGCGGAAUGAAAGUGAACAGUUGGGACUUCUGUCAUGGAAGGCACCGACGCCCGGACCAGACCUAUUGUGACGGAUCCGAGGUAGAGCAUGUAUGUUGGGACCCGAAAGAUGGUGAACUAUGCCUGAGUAGGGUGAAGCCAGAGGAAACUCUGGUGGAGGCUSGUAGCGAUUCU